This 497-nucleotide ribosomal RNA is filed under the name uncultured bacterium. Its description in RNAcentral is "partial 16S ribosomal RNA". It matches the Rfam family "Bacterial small subunit ribosomal RNA", at positions 28 to 507 of the family's 1533-position model. The record is from RNAcentral.
GACGAACGCUGGCGGCGUGCCUAAUACAUGCAAGUCGAACGCUGAAGAGAGGAGCUUGCUCUUCUUGGAUGAGUUGCGCACGGGUGAGUAACGCGUAGGUCACCUGCCUUGUAGCGGGGGAUAACUAUUGGAAACGAUAGCUAAUACCGCAUAACAAUGGAUGACACAUGUCAUUUAUUUGAAAGGGGCAAUUGCUCCACUACAAGAUGGACCUGCGUUGUAUUAGCUAGUAGGUGAGGUAAUGGCUCACCUAGGCGACGAUACAUAGCCGACCUGAGAGGGUGAUCGGCCACACUGGGACUGAGACACGGCCCAGACUCCUACGGGAGGCAGCAGUAGGGAAUCUUUGGCAAUGGGGGCAACCCUGACCGAGCAACGCCGCGUGAGUGAAGAAGGUUUUCGGAUCGUAAAGGUCUGUUGUAAGUCAAGAACGGGUGUGAGAGUGGAAAGUUCACACUGUGACGGUAGCUUAACAGAAAGGGACGGCUAACUACGUG